GACGAACGCUGGCGGCGUGCUUAACACAUGCAAGUCGAACGGAAAGGCCCUGCUUUUGUGGGGUGCUCGAGUGGCGAACGGGUGAGUAACACGUGAGUAACCUGCCCUUGACUUUGGGAUAACUUCAGGAAACUGGGGCUAAUACCGGAUAGGAGCUCCUGCUGCAUGGUGGGGGUUGGAAAGUUUCGGCGGUUGGGGAUGGACUCGCGGCUUAUCAGCUUGUUGGUGGGGUAGUGGCUUACCAAGGCUUUGACGGGUAGCCGGCCUGAGAGGGUGACCGGCCACAUUGGGACUGAGAGACGGCCCAGACGCCUACGGGAGGCAGCAGUGGGGAGUAUUGCACAAUGGGCGGAAGCCUGAUGCAGCAACGCCGCGUGCGGGAUGACGGCCUUCGGGUUGUAAACCGCUUUCGCCUGUGACGAAGCGUGAGUGACGGUAAUGGGUAAAGAAGCACCGGCUAACUACGUG
This 468-nucleotide ribosomal RNA is filed under the name uncultured bacterium. Its description in RNAcentral is "partial 16S ribosomal RNA". It matches the Rfam family "Bacterial small subunit ribosomal RNA", at positions 28 to 507 of the family's 1533-position model. The record is from RNAcentral.